CAUCCUUGCCCUAACAGAGUUUGCAUUCUAGCUGGAGGUGGAGGUCAGGGAGAUGAAAACUGAACAAUAAACAUAACCAGUAAGUAUGUUAGAUAUCAUGUUCGAAUAUGAACAAUGCCAUGGGAGAACAAAGUAGGGCCGGGGUGAGCAGCAUCGGGAGCCCGGGGACAGGGACCGAGGGCAGGGCAGGUGACAACAUUAAACAGAGUAGACAGGUACCUCAGAAGUGAGUAACUGGCCAAGCAUCCACUGCUGGGUUCUGAGAUGCGCUUGCUUUCAGGACAGGCCUCCCACAGGCUGCUCACAGCACUGCAGGGAUGUGAGGUCCGUUCCUGGGAGACACGGGCUACUUUGGCUCGAGGUGCCCCCACAGCCUUGCUGAACUUUCUCAGAGUCAUCUGCAGAUUAAGAUACUCCCACCCCCCUCCCUGCCGUCUCUCCCUUGCUGGAGUCAGACUCUCCUAGCUUCUUGCUCUUGCCUCGCUUUCUUUCAUUGGAGUGGCUCCUAAGAAAUCUCUUGACCAGGUAAGCCCAUUGUGGCAUCCGCCUCUCCAAGGAUCCUGCCAACUCAUCAGGUUAGGCCUCAUUGGGAAGGUGGGAUUGGAGCAUUCAGCAAUGACUGGAGCGGAGGGAGUAGCUGAGUUAGUAGUUCCAUAUCCUUUCGUUGCAUUGGAAGCUGCUCGCUGGCGCCCUCCUCUGUUCCAGAGUUGCCGGAUCUUGUCCAUCACCCCAGAAACAGCUCCUGCAUUUAACCUCUUCGUGCCUUUCCCACCAUGUAACCCUUUAAGGGUCUUGUUAUGUCCCCUAGGCUAUUGCCCCGCCACCAAUCUCUUCCUUCUCACCCCUGCAAUCCAUGCUGCUCACUGCUUCCAGGUGACCCUCUUAAGUCAUUCCCUGAUCUUGAUUCUCCCUUGCUCAGAAACCUCCAGUGACUCUCUGCAGGUUUAAGGGUAAGCCCCGCCUGACAUCUGAGGCCAACCACAUCUGUCUCCAGUGGGCCUUCUCAGCACUGCAGAGAGCUCUAGGUGUUAGAGUGGGAUGGGAUCCAGGCUACUGAACUCUGCCACCUCUACACAACUCUGCAUUUCUGUCAGGUGAUUAGCUGUGUGUGAGUGCCUUCAGUGACGGGAACCUCGCUUUUCCCAAGCUCACAUCUCCUUGAAGAGUCAAGACCCUGGCCCUGGUUCUGCCCUUUGAGCUGUAAGGGAGAAGACCCCUUCCCCUCCCAUGACAGCCCUUCACUUACUGGAAGUCAGUGAUUCUAUCUCCCAUGAGUCACCAUUUUUUGUCAUAACCCAUCUAGCACGGAAAAAAGAUGUCACCCGUGUCUCCUGUGAAAUGACCUGAAAUCCCUGGUACCCAGGCUCCUCUCCACUGAUUGCACUUGUAUUCGCUUCCUUGGGCUGCCAAAGUUCCACAGGCUGAAUGUUAAACAAUAGAAAUGUGUUUCUCCCAGUUCCAGAGGCUGGGAGGUCCAAGAUCAAGGUAUCAGCCCAUUUGAUUUCUCCUGAGCCUUUCUCCUUGGCUUCCAGAUGGCUGCCUCCUCACUGUGUCCUCACCCGGUCUCUUCUCUGUGCAUGUGCCUCCCUGGUGUCUCUUUUUGUGUCCAAAUUUCCACUUCUCAUAAGACACCAUUCAUAUUAGAUUGGGGCCCCCCGAACGGUCUCAUUUUAUCUUAAUUACCUCUUUAGGGCCAGGUGCAGUGGCUCACGUCUGUAAUCCCAGCACUUUGGGAGGCCAAGGCGGGCUGAUCACUUGAGGUCAGGAGUUUGAGACCAGCCUGAUCAAUAUGGCAAAACCCCAUCUCUACUGAAAACACAAAAAUUAGCCGGGCAUGGUGGUAGGCACCUGUAAUCCCAGCUACUCGGGAGGCUGAGGCAGGAGAAUUGCCUGUACCCGGGAGACAGACGUUGCAGUAAGCCAAGAUUAUGCCACUGUACUCCAGCCUGUGCAACAGAGAGAAACUCUGUCUCAAAAAAAAAAAAAAAAAAAAAAAA
RNAcentral lists this long non-coding RNA (1997 nucleotides) under Macaca fascicularis (crab-eating macaque). Its description in RNAcentral is "lncRNA (ENSMFAG00000059897.1)". The record is from RNAcentral. Lineage: Eukaryota; Metazoa; Chordata; Mammalia; Primates; Cercopithecidae.